AACGAACGCUGGCGGCAGGCCUAACACAUGCAAGUCGAACGCCCUAGCAAUAGGGAGUGGCAGACGGGUGAGUAACACGUGGGAACCUUCCCUGUAGUACGGAAUAGCCCAGGGAAACUUGGAGUAAUACCGUAUACGCCCGAAAGGGGAAAGAUUUAUCGCUAUAGGAUGGGCCCGCGUAGGAUUAGCUAGUUGGUGAGGUAAUGGCUCACCAAGGCGACGAUCCUUAGCUGGUUUGAGAGAACGACCAGCCACACUGGGACUGAGACACGGCCCAGACUCCUACGGGAGGCAGCAGUGGGGAAUAUUGGACAAUGGGCGCAAGCCUGAUCCAGCCAUGCCGCGUGAGUGAUGAAGGCCUUAGGGUUGUAAAGCUCUUUUGGCGGGACGAUAAUGACGGUACCCGCAGAAUAAGUCCCGGCUAACUUCGUGCCA
RNAcentral lists this ribosomal RNA (435 nucleotides) under uncultured bacterium. RNAcentral describes it as "bacterial SSU rRNA". It matches the Rfam family "Bacterial small subunit ribosomal RNA", at positions 29 to 510 of the family's 1533-position model. The record is from RNAcentral.